RNAcentral lists this ribosomal RNA (579 nucleotides) under Pseudomonas aeruginosa. RNAcentral describes it as "bacterial SSU rRNA". It matches the Rfam family "Bacterial small subunit ribosomal RNA", at positions 140 to 714 of the family's 1533-position model. Lineage: Bacteria; Pseudomonadati; Pseudomonadota; Gammaproteobacteria; Pseudomonadales; Pseudomonadaceae. The record is from RNAcentral.
GGGGGAACGUCCGGAAACGGGCGCUAAUACCGCAUACGUCCUGAGGGAGAAAGUGGGGGAUCUUCGGACCUCACGCUAUCAGAUGAGCCUAGGUCGGAUUAGCUAGUUGGUGGGGUAAAGGCCUACCAAGGCGACGAUCCGUAACUGGUCUGAGAGGAUGAUCAGUCACACUGGAACUGAGACACGGUCCAGACUCCUACGGGAGGCAGCAGUGGGGAAUAUUGGACAAUGGGCGAAAGCCUGAUCCAGCCAUGCCGCGUGUGUGAAGAAGGUCUUCGGAUUGUAAAGCACUUUAAGUUGGGAGGAAGGGCAGUAAGUUAAUACCUUGCUGUUUUGACGUUACCAACAGAAUAAGCACCGGCUAACUUCGUGCCAGCAGCCGCGGUAAUACGAAGGGUGCAAGCGUUAAUCGGAAUUACUGGGCGUAAAGCGCGCGUAGGUGGUUCAGCAAGUUGGAUGUGAAAUCCCCGGGCUCAACCUGGGAACUGCAUCCAAAACUACUGAGCUAGAGUACGGUAGAGGGUGGUGGAAUUUCCUGUGUAGCGGUGAAAUGCGUAGAUAUAGGAAGGAACACCAGUG